Amphiprion ocellaris (clown anemonefish) is the source of this 1575-nucleotide long non-coding RNA. The record is from Ensembl. NCBI's taxonomy places the organism in Eukaryota, Metazoa, Chordata, Actinopteri, Pomacentridae.
UGAAAUUGUUCCAAGUUACUCAACUUGUGUCCUAAAUAACUAAACUUUUGGAAAAUGACUGAAAAUUUGUCUAUAAAUGAUCAAAAAUGACUCGAAACUUGUGCAGAAUUGUUUAAAAUGAUUCAAAAUUUCUGCAAAAUCUAUUGAAAAAAGUGCAAAACGCUUCAUAAAUUUUAGAAAAUUCCUUGAAAUGUGGCCUAGAGUGACUGAAUGUUGAUAGAACUCCUCUUCAGACAUCAGAGAUGAAGUCCAGCACUUUGGUGAAUCUGCUCGUCAGACUCUGAGCACAAAGACCAGGAGCAGCUCUCUGAGGACUCCGUGGACCGGACCAUGUGGUGCUACCUGGGGGUCUGGAAGAGUCCAUCCUGGGACGGUAGGGGGGCGUUCCUUCCUUCUUCUUCUCCCCGUUUCAGAACCAAAAGCUGCUUCGUCACCAUGGAAACGACGAGGACAGCGGAGGAAAUGCGCAGAAAUCGUUUGGUAGUUCCCGAUGUUACUCUUGUUCUCCUAACUGUGUGAUAAAUGCAAUACAACCGUGGUGUAACCGGGUGGACGUGAUCCGCAGCACGGCGACGUUCCCAGCCGCUCCGGUUCCACGGCCGGUUCCUUCCUCCAGAACCCCCGGCGUCAUAUCAGCCGCAGCGAAGCCUCAUAUCUGGAGAAAGUUGCCUUUUUCAGGAGCGGAGGGGAGCAGCGGCCGCACAUCUCCCUCCCUGCCGCCGCCGUCGAUUCUCCGUUUAACACGCCGACCGCAAACGCACCGCGCCGGGAAACGGGAAUCGCUGAGUCGAAGGUGAAGGGUUCUCCAGAAGUUCUUCAUUCACGCGUGGACCUACAGAGAGAGGAAUAGAAGGUUCCACAUGUCCAGUCGUCCAAAAGGACUCAGAAAACCUGUCUGAUAAAGAUUGAAACCUGAAACGAUCAAAGUGACUCGAAAUCUGUCCAAAAUUAUUCAAAUUUUGUCCACAAUUAUUACAAAUCUGUCCAAAAUUAUUCAAUAAACUCUUCAAAAUUAUCUAAAAUUUCUCAUAAAGAUCUAAAAUCUGUCCAAAAUUAUCAAAAAAAAUUACAAAAAUACCCAAAACUUCCACAGAAUUAUCCAAAAUCUGUCCAAAAUUAUUCAAAAUCGGUUCAAAAUAACCAUUUUUUUCCAAAAUGUGUUCAAAAUUACUCAAAAAUUUUCCCAAAUUAUUCUAAAUUUGUCCAAAAUUUGUUCCAAAUUAUCCAAAAUCUGUCCAGAAUGACCCGUAAUAAUGUGAAAACUGUGGAGGACAUCUCCAGGAACAGUCCAGAAAGACGUUCUAACCUGAGGACAGAAGCUGUGGUGGAACCUUCUUCUUCUUCUUCUUCUUCUUCUUCUUCUUCUUCUUCUUCUUCUUCUUCUUCUUCUUCUUCUUCUUCUUCUUCUUCUUCUUCUUCUUCUUCUUCUUCUUCUUCUUCUUCUUCUUCUUCUUCUUCUUCUUCUUCUUCUUCUUCUUCUUCUUCUUCUCAGCGACUCCCAGCAGCCGUGGAACCGUCGGUGGAACGGAGGCCGAGCCGUGCCUCAGUGACCCUCCCUGGUGUUUUAGAGACAAC